RNAcentral lists this ribosomal RNA (508 nucleotides) under uncultured archaeon. Its description in RNAcentral is "bacterial SSU rRNA". It matches the Rfam family "Archaeal small subunit ribosomal RNA", at positions 210 to 722 of the family's 1478-position model. The record is from RNAcentral.
UGGAUCUGCGGCCGAUUAGGUUGUUGUUGGGGUAACGGCCCAACAAGCCAGUAAUCGGUACGGGUUGUGGGAGCAAGAGCCCGGAGUUGGAUUCUGAGACACGAAUCCAGGCCCUACGGGGCGCAGCAGGCGCGAAAACUUUACAAUGCGGGCAACCGUGAUAAGGGAACCUCGAGUGCCUGUAUAUGCAGGCUGUCUGGGUGUCUAAAACACACCUAAAGAAAGGGCCGGGCAAGACCGGUGCCAGCCGCCGCGGUAAUACCGGCGGCUCGAGUGGUGGCCACUUUUAUUGGGCUUAAAGCGUUCGUAGCUGGGUUGCUAAGUCCCUUGGGAAAUCCGACGGCUUAACCGUCGGGCGUCUAAGGGAUACUGGUAAUCUUGGAACCGGGAGAGGUGAGGGGUACUUCGGGGGUAGGAGUGAAAUCCUGUAAUCCUCGAGGGACCACCUGUGGCGAAGGCGCCUCACCAGAACGGCUUCGACAGUGAGGGACGAAAGCUGGGGGAGCAA